GGUCAAGCGAACAAGUGCAUGUGGUGGAUGCCUUGGCGAUCACAGGCGAUGAAGGACGCGGUAGCCUGCGAAAAGCUACGGGGAGCUGGCAAACAAGCUUUGAUCCGUAGAUGUCCGAAUGGGGAAACCCACUCCUUUUGGAGUAUCCAUGGCUGAAUACAUAGGCCAUGUGAAGCGAACGCGGUGAACUGAAACAUCUAAGUAACCGCAGGAAAAGAAAUCAACCGAGAUUCCCAAAGUAGUGGCGAGCGAAAUGGGAUGAGCCUUGCACUCUUUAUUUGUAUUGUUAGCCGAACGCUCUGGAAAGUGCGGCCAUAGCAGGUGAUAGCCCUGUAGGCGAAAACAGUAUGAAAGAACUAGGUGUGCGACAAGUAGGGCGGGACACGUGAAAUCCUGUCUGAAGAUGGGGGGACCAUCCUCCAAGGCUAAAUACUCGUGAUCGACCGAUAGUGAACCAGUACCGUGAGGGAAAGGCGAAAAGAACCCCGGGAGGGGAGUGAAAUAGAUCCUGAAACCGCAUGCAUACAAACAGUCGGAGCCUCGCAAGGGGUGACGGCGUACCUUUUGUAUAAUGGGUCAGCGACUUACGUUCAGUAGCAAGCUUAACCGUAUAGGGCAGGCGUAGCGAAAGCGAGUCCGAAUAGGGCGUUCAGUUGCUGGGCGUAGACCCGAAACCAGGUGAUCUAUCCAUGGCCAGGAUGAAGGUGCGGUAACACGUACUGGAGGUCCGAACCCACUAACGUUGAAAAGUUAGGGGAUGAGCUGUGGAUAGGGGUGAAAGGCUAAACAAACCUGGAAAUAGCUGGUUCUCUCCGAAAACUAUUUAGGUAGUGCCUCGUGUCUCACCUUCGGGGGUAGAGCACUGUCAUGGUUGGGGGGUCUAUUGCAGAUUACCCCGCCAUAGCAAACUCCGAAUACCGAAGAGUGCAAUCACGGGAGACAGACAUCGGGUGCUAACGUCCGGUGUCAAGAGGGAAACAACCCAGACCGCCAGCUAAGGUCCCCAAAUAUAGCUAAGUGGGAAACGAAGUGGGAAGGCUAAAACAGUCAGGAGGUUGGCUUAGAAGCAGCCACCCUUUAAAGAAAGCGUAAUAGCUCACUGAUCGAGUCGUCCUGCGCGGAAGAUGUAACGGGGCUAAGCUAUAUACCGAAGCUGCGGAUGCGUGCUUAGCACGCAUGGUAGGAGAGCGUUCCGUAAGCCUGCGAAGGUGCCUUGUAAAGGGUGCUGGAGGUAUCGGAAGUGCGAAUGCUGACAUGAGUAGCGAUAAAGGGGGUGAAAGGCCCCCUCGCCGUAAGCCCAAGGUUUCCUACGCAACGUUCAUCGGCGUAGGGUGAGUCGGCCCCUAAGGCGAGGCAGAAAUGCGUAGCUGAUGGGAAGCAGGUCAAUAUUCCUGCACCAUUGUUAGAUGCGAUGGGGGGACGGAUCGCGGAAGGUUGUCCGGGUGUUGGAAGUCCCGGUCGCUGCAUUGGAGAAGGCGCUUAGGCAAAUCCGGGCGCAGGAUUCAAGGGUGUGGCGCGAGCUCCUUAGGGAGCGAAGCAAUUGGAAGUGGUUCCAAGAAAAGCCUCUAAGCUUCAGUCUAACGAUGACCGUACCGCAAACCGACACAGGUGGGCGAGAUGAGUAUUCUAAGGCGCUUGAGAGAACUCGGGAGAAGGAACUCGGCAAAUUGGUACCGUAACUUCGGGAUAAGGUACGCCCUUGUAGCUUGACUGGCCUGCGCCAGGAGGGUGAAGGGGUUGCAAUAAACUGGUGGCUGCGACUGUUUAAUAAAAACACAGCACUCUGCAAACACGAAAGUGGACGUAUAGGGUGUGACGCCUGCCCGGUGCCGGAAGAUUAAAUGAUGGGGUGCAAGCUCUUGAUUGAAGUCCCGGUAAACGGCGGCCGUAACUAUAACGGUCCUAAGGUAGCGAAAUUCCUUGUCGGGUAAGUUCCGACCUGCACGAAUGGCGUAACGAUGGCCACACUGUCUCCUCCCGAGACUCAGCGAAGUUGAAGUGUUUGUGAUGAUGCAAUCUACCCGCGGCUAGACGGAAAGACCCCAUGAACCUUUACUGUAGCUUUGCAUUGGACUUUGAACCGAUCUGUGUAGGAUAGGUGGGAGGCUAUGAAACCGGAACGCUAGUUUCGGUGGAGCCGUCCUUGAAAUACCACCCUGGUUUGUUUGAGGUUCUAACCUUGGCCCGUGAUCCGGGUCGGGGACAGUGCAUGGUAGGCAGUUUGACUGGGGCGGUCUCCUCCCAAAGCGUAACGGAGGAGUACGAAGGUACGCUAGGUACGGUCGGAAAUCGUGCUGAUAGUGCAAUGGCAUAAGCGUGCUUAACUGCGAGACCGACAAGUCGAGCAGGUGCGAAAGCAGGUCAUAGUGAUCCGGUGGUUCUGUAUGGAAGGGCCAUCGCUCAACGGAUAAAAGGUACUCUGGGGAUAACAGGCUGAUACCGCCCAAGAGUUCAUAUCGACGGCGGUGUUUGGCACCUCGAUGUCGGCUCAUCUCAUCCUGGGGCUGUAGCCGGUCCCAAGGGUAUGGCUGUUCGCCAUUUAAAGAGGUACGUGAGCUGGGUUUAAAACGUCGUGAGACAGUUUGGUCCCUAUCUGCCGUGGGCGUUGGAUAUUUGAAGGGGGCUGCUCCUAGUACGAGAGGACCGGAGUGGACGAACCUCUGGUGUACCGGUUGUCACGCCAGUGGCAUCGCCGGGUAGCUAUGUUCGGAAGAGAUAACCGCUGAAAGCAUCUAAGCGGGAAACUCGCCUUAAGAUGAGAUAUCCCUGGGGACUAGAUCCCCUUGAAGGGUCGUUCGAGACCAGGACGUUGAUAGGUCAGGUGUGUAAGCGCAGUAAUGCGUUCAGCUAACUGAUACUAAUUGCCCGUAAGGCUUGAUCCU
This 2882-nucleotide ribosomal RNA is filed under the name Burkholderia sp. EMB26. RNAcentral's name for it is "23S ribosomal RNA". It matches the Rfam family "Bacterial large subunit ribosomal RNA". Lineage: Bacteria; Pseudomonadati; Pseudomonadota; Betaproteobacteria; Burkholderiales; Burkholderiaceae. The record is from RNAcentral.